UGGGAUAAAUUCAAACCUGCAAAACAACAGGACUCAAGCAUUUCGCCAAACACCUCAUGUUUUCCCUUUGAAAAUAAUAAAUUUUUGUGAGGCUUGCUUUAGAUGAUGGUAUUCAAGUGCCACCGAAUUGAGGUUCAAUCCUUGACACUUAAUACCUUCAUCUAAACCAGCAUAACAAAAAUUUAAUAUUUUCAAAGGAGAAACAUGAGGUGCUUGCGAAAUGCUUGAGUCCUGUUGUUUGACAAGUUUGAAUUACCU
This 258-nucleotide microRNA precursor is filed under the name Medicago truncatula (barrel medic). Its description in RNAcentral is "miR2592i stem-loop (mtr-MIR2592i, mtr-MIR2592r)". Lineage: Eukaryota; Viridiplantae; Streptophyta; Magnoliopsida; Fabales; Fabaceae. The record is from miRBase by way of RNAcentral.